This 27-nucleotide non-coding RNA is filed under the name Homo sapiens (human). The record is from RNAcentral. Lineage: Eukaryota; Metazoa; Chordata; Mammalia; Primates; Hominidae.
UGAGCACCUACCAGAGCCCGAUGCUGC